This 320-nucleotide ribosomal RNA is filed under the name uncultured eukaryote. Its description in RNAcentral is "partial 18S ribosomal RNA". It matches the Rfam family "Eukaryotic small subunit ribosomal RNA", at positions 1470 to 1796 of the family's 1831-position model. The record is from RNAcentral.
CCCUUAGAUGUUCUGGGCCGCACGCGCGUUACACUGAUGCAUUCAACGAGUUCUUCCUUGGCCGAGAGGCCUGGGCAAUCUUUUGAACGUGCAUCGUGAUAGGGAUAGAUUAUUGCAAUUAUUAAUCUUGAACGAGGAAUUCCUAGUAAACGCAGUUCAUCAAACUGCAUUGAUUACGUCCCUGCCCUUUGUACACACCGCCCGUCGCACCUACCGAUUGAAUGGUCCGGUGAAAUCUCGGGACGGCGGCUUGGUCGCUUGCGUCCGACUGCUGAAACUUGAUUAAACCAUAUCAUUUAGAGGAAGGUGAAGUCGUANCA